GCAGGAGCAGUUAAAACUUAGAGGAAUGAAUGGGAAAAAUGGAGUUCCUGUGCAUUCGUUGUUGGGGUGGAGCUCUGACCGGUUUCAAUGAUACAACAGUGACACCUGGGGGUCAGUCGGGGUACUGCAGGUACUGCGGCAGCCCUUUACGUCAAUGUUUCCCAGGAUGCAGGCAAGAUGUUUUGCCGUCUUCGUGCAGAUUGAAGGAUGUGCUGUGUUUGUCAGUAGAGGCUGUUUUCACAUCCAUCUGUGGAAGCGGGACAGCCGGAGUUCACUUCCCACAGCAUCUAUGUGGAAACUCAAACAUUUCCUCGUUCUGCAAUUAGACUUCACAAUGAACUCCGGUGACCUGGACACAACUUAUCCUUGAUGUUUGUGGAAAUUAUGGAUGCCCUGAAUACCACGUGAUCAAGUCUUUUACCACGUUGUAAUCGAUGGAAGUAGAACAAUGACAGCCUCACAUGUCAGCAUAUAAUUAUUGAAUAAAACGACCAUAUUUGUAAUGUUUGAAGUAAUAAGAGUAUGCCAAUCUCUGUGCAUGAAGCAGGAAUGGAUAGUAUACAUUGUUUUUUUCUUAGAUAACUAAAACAUGUACAGUAUGGAACCGAAUGUAAAGUAAAUGUCAAGGUUUGCAUGACUACAGUUUUA
This is a long non-coding RNA of Eleginops maclovinus (Patagonian blennie), 648 nucleotides long. RefSeq lists it as uncharacterized. NCBI's taxonomy places the organism in Eukaryota, Metazoa, Chordata, Actinopteri, Perciformes, Eleginopidae. The transcript has 4 exons. The record is from RefSeq and is a predicted model, not a curated record.